AAACUCUGGAGAAACUCUUUUAAAAGAGUGCCGAAGGUGCAAGGAAUUUUCCGAAUCUCUCAGGCAAAAGGACAGAGGAUG
This 81-nucleotide non-coding RNA is filed under the name human gut metagenome. Its description in RNAcentral is "Glycine riboswitch". It matches the Rfam family "Glycine riboswitch aptamer", at positions 9 to 86 of the family's 94-position model. Rfam says of the family: This family represents the bacterial glycine riboswitch. Glycine riboswitches usually consist of two metabolite-binding aptamers domains with similar structures in tandem. The record is from RNAcentral.